AUUUUACGAAUUAUUAGUAUAAAUGUAUAUUUAAAGUAUUAAAAAAUUUAUUAAAAAUUUAGAAAAAUUGAUUUUUAUGAUAGAAAAUUAGUACAGUGAUGGAAAUUUUAUUUAAAUUUAAAAAAGAAAAAUAAUUUUUGUACCUUGUGUAUCAGGGUCUAUUAAAUAAAAAUUAUUUAAAAUUAAUUUUCUCGAAUUAAAAAGAGUUAAUAAAUUAAAUAUUUUAUUGUUGAAUAAAUAUUUAAAAUAAUUUAUUAGAAAUGAAAUGUUAAUCGUUUUUUAAUAUAUCUAGUUUUUUUAGAAAAAAAUUGAAUUUUAAUCAAUAAUUAAUUUUUUUUAAAUAUAAAAUAAGUUUUAAUUAUUGAGUAAUAUAUUUUGGGAUAAGCUAAAAUAUAAAUUUUUAUAAGUUAUAAUUAAAUUUUAAAAUAAUAAUAGGAUUAGAAAUUUUUAUUUUUUAUAGUAUUUUAUAAUUAAUUUAUUAAAAAAUUUAAUUUUUAUUUAUUUUAAGUAUUUUAUAAAAAUAAAUUAUAUAAUAAAAUUUUAAUUAAAAUAAUGAUAGAAUUAGUAUAAAUUUAUAAAUAUAUAAAUUAUAUUUGAAAGGUUAAAUAAAGGAAUUCGGCAAAAGUAUUUUUCGCCUGUUUAUUAAAAACAUGUCUUUUUGAUAAUAAUUUAAAGUCUGAUCUGCCCACUGAAAAUUUAAAUGGCUGCAGUAUUUUGACUGUACAAAGGUAGCAUAAUAAUUAGUUUUUUAAUUGAAAGCUUGUAUGAAUGAUUUGACGAGAAAAUAACUGUCUCUAUUUAAUUUUAUUAGAAUUUUAUUUUUAAAUUAAAAAGUUUAAAUAAAAUUUAAAGACGAGAAGACCCUAUAGAGUUUUAUAUAUAAAUAUAUAAAUAAUUUUUUAGAAAUAAAAUAAUUUUUAUUUAAAUAUAUAAUUUGUUGGGGUGAUAUAAAAAUAUAAUAAACUUUUUAUAAAUUUUAACAUUGAUAUAUGAAUAAAUGAUCCAUAAUUUAUGAUUAAAAGAUUAAAUUACCUUAGGGAUAACAGCGUAAUUUUUUUUGAGAGUUCUUAUCGAAAAAAAAGUUUGCGACCUCGAUGUUGGAUUAAAAUUAAAAAUUAGUGUAGAAGCUAAUUGAUUAGGUCUGUUCGACCUUUAAAAUUUUACAUGAUCUGAGUUUAAACCGGUGUAAGCCAGGUUGGUUUCUAUCUUAAAUAAUCUUAAAUAUUUUAGUACGAAAGGACCAAAUAUUAAUAAAAUUUAUUUAAUAAUGAAU
Molecule: ribosomal RNA, 1273 nt
Filed under: Silvanus bidentatus
Lineage: Eukaryota; Metazoa; Arthropoda; Insecta; Coleoptera; Silvanidae
Description: 16S ribosomal RNA
Source: RNAcentral